This is an RNA transcript of Nicotiana attenuata, 2725 nucleotides long. It is a transcript of the gene named subtilisin-like protease SBT1.9, with no coding region annotated. The transcript has a single exon. The record is from RefSeq and is a predicted model, not a curated record. Lineage: Eukaryota; Viridiplantae; Streptophyta; Magnoliopsida; Solanales; Solanaceae.
UAAAUAAAUAAAAAAAAGUAUGCAAGCAAAGCCAAAAGCUACAAUGCUGCUCAUGACCGUGUUUGUUAUAUACUUGCAAUUUGCAUUAGCUUUACACUUUAGAAAAAAAAGCCACCACGGACCAAUGGCUCAAAUUUCAAAGGUCUUUUUCUCUUUCCACAGAAAAAGAUAGCAUUUAAAAACUGCACCAUGUGCUCAUAUAAUAUUAUUUACUUUAAACGAAAGAUGCCAUAAUAAAAUGGUGUUUUGAAACCUUGGAGAUUAAAUAGGGGCCUCCCCUGCAGUAGGAAGUCACAAACUUGAGAGAUAGCAAUGGAGCUAGUUAAUUUACCUCUUCUCUUUUUAUGUUGGUUUCUUUUUGCUCAUGUCUACUGUUUAGUAGCCAUAGCAGAGAGAUCCACAUAUAUUGUCCAUUUGGACAAAUCCUUAAUGCCUAAUGUAUUUGCUGAUCACCAACAAUGGCAUUCUUCCACCAUUGAUUCCAUCAAGAUUGCAACUCCAGCUUCACUUAAUAGCCGCCAUCCUGCUCCAAAGCUUCUCUAUUCUUAUGACAAUGUAAUUCAUGGCUUCAGUGCAGUUUUGUCUAAAGAUGAGCUAGAAGCUCUCAAGAAGUCCACUGGCUUCAUUUCAGCUUAUAAAGAUAGGUCUCUUGAAGCUCACACUACGCGUACCUCUGAGUUUCUUAAGCUCAACCCUUCCUCUGGUCUAUGGCCAGCUUCUGGUUUUGGCCAAGAUGUUAUCAUCGGUGUACUUGACUCCGGUGUCUGGCCUGAAUCUGCCAGUUUCAGAGAUGAUGGAUGCCUGAAAUCCCCAAAAAACGGAAGGGAAUUUGUCGGGCAGGCAUGGAGUUUAAUACUUCAUUGUGCGACCGGAAACUCAUUGGUGCCAAUUACUUCAAUAAGGGAAUAGUGGCCAACAAUCCUGAUGUGAACAUUUCUAUGAAUUCUGCAAGGGACACUGGUGGUCAUGGCACCCAUGUCGCCUCUAUUGCUGCUGGUAGUUUUGUCAAAGGAGCUUCAUAUUUCGGAUACGCCCCAGGAACAGCAAAAGGGGUUGCACCGUGAGCUAGACUUGCGGUGUAUAAGUUUAGCUUUGAUGAGGGAAACUUCGCUUCUGAUUUGAUUGCAGCUAUGGACCAAGCUGUUGCAGAUGGUGUUGACAUGAUAUGCAUUUCCUACGGCUGGCGCUUUAUUCCUUUAUAUGAAGAUACUAUUGCAAUAGCUGCUUUUGGUGCCAUGGCCAAGGGCGUGUUAGUUUCUGCUUCAGCAGGAAAUCGUGGUCCUGGUAUGGGAAGUUUAAACAAUGGGGUACCAUGGAUCUUCACAGUGGCAUCAGGCCAUACCGACCGUUGGUUUUCAGGGACUCUGACACUGGGAAGUGGUCUAAAGAUUAGGGGAUGGAGCUUGUUUCCAGCAAGAGCAAUUAUUAGCAAUUGGCCUGUAAUUUACAACAAGACAUUGUCUGCUUGUGAUUCAGCUGAAUUGUUAGCCCAAGUACCUGACGCUGGACGUAGCGUCAUCGUUUGUCAGAGGAGCAGAGAUGCAGAAGUAGUCACUGACCAAAUGAACUCUGUUGCAGAGGCCAGAGUUGGAGCAGCCAUCUUUAUUACCGAUGAUCCAGCAAUAUUAAGGUCCACUGAAUUUCCAAAUCCGGGAGUUGUUAUAACCCCCAAGGAAGGGAAACAGGUUAUGAAUUAUGUCACAAAGACUCCUGAACCCAAGGCCAGCAUUAGUUUCCUGGAGACAUACUUGGACUCAACGCCUGCUCCAGUUGUUUCUGCAUCCUCAGCUAGAGGCCCCUCUCGAAGCUACCUGAGAGUGGCAAAGCCAGACAUAUUAGCACCAGGAGUGUUAAUUCUAGCCGCCUACCCAUCUAAUAUUGCAGUAGCAAAAAUUGGUACCAAUAUACAAUUGGCAACUGAUUACCUUCUUGAAUCAGGAACAUCCAUGGCUGCCCCUCAGGCCCUCACAUUGCUGGAAUAGCUGCAAUGGUUAAAGGUGCACAUCCUGAAUGGAGCCCUUCAGCAAUUCGUUCCGCCAUGAUGACCACUGCCAACCCUUUGGAUAAUAAUCAAAAAGCCAUAAAAAAUUCUGAGGAUAACAAACGUGCUACACCACUAGACAUGGGAGCUGGUCAUGUUGAUCCUAACCGGGCUCUUGACCCAGGUCUCAUAUAUGAUGCCACGCCGCAAGAUUAUGUUAAUCUUCUUUGUUCUUUGAAUUUCACAGAAGAGCAGUUGAAAACAAUUGCAAGAUCUUCAGCCAAUCACAACUGCUCAAAUACAUCCACGGAUAUCAAUUACCCAUCAUUUAUCGCAUUCUUUAGCCCGCAAGGGAACUUCACUUGGUUGGAACAAAAAUUCAGGAGGACAGUAACAAAUGUUGGAAGUGGUGCAGCUAAGUAUAGAGUGAAAGUGAAAGCACCAAGGAACUCAACGAUUUCUGUCUCACCACAAACAUUGGUUUUUAAGAAGAAAAACCAGAAGCAAAGCUAUUCUUUGACCAUUCGUUACAAAGAUGAUGCAGAACAAGAAGUCCAAUCUGGUUCAAUCACCUGGGUGGAAGAGAAUGGAAAUCAUACAGUAAGAAGUCCUAUUGUAAUAUCUCCAGAGAUAGAGGUCUGGUAAUGAAGCUCUGCAACUAGCACAAAUUCUUGAAUUUUCUAAGUUUGUAACUGUGAAGAGGAUUCUGACUGAAAUAGCCGGAUAGGCAGCAAAGCAUGUGCA